UAGAGUUUGAUCCUGGCUCAGAAUGAACGCUGGCGGCAGGCUUAACACAUGCAAGUCGAACGGUAGCAGGAAGAAAGCUUGCUUUCUUUGCUGACGAGUGGCGGACGGGUGAGUAACGCGUGGGAAUCUACCCUAUGAUUGGGGACAACAUGUGGAAACGCAUGCUAAUACCGAAUGUGGUCUACGGACUAAAGGGGGCCUCUAUUUAUAAGCUCCCGUCAUAGGAUGAGCCCGCGUAAGAUUAGCUAGUUGGUAGGGUAAAGGCCUACCAAGGCGACGAUCUUUAGCUGGUUUGAGAGGAUGAUCAGCCACACUGGGACUGAGACACGGCCCAGACUCCUACGGGAGGCAGCAGUGGGGAAUAUUGGACAAUGGGGGAAACCCUGAUCCAGCCAUGCCGCGUGUGUGAAGAAGGCCCGAGGGUUGUAAAGCACUUUCAGUUGGGAAGAAGGGUAAUAAGCUAAUACCUUAUUAUCUUGACAUUACCUUCAGAAGAAGCACCGGCUAACUCUGUGCCAGCAGCCGCGGUAAUAAUCGAAU
RNAcentral lists this ribosomal RNA (540 nucleotides) under uncultured bacterium. RNAcentral describes it as "bacterial SSU rRNA". It matches the Rfam family "Bacterial small subunit ribosomal RNA", at positions 1 to 530 of the family's 1533-position model. The record is from RNAcentral.